GAGAGUGUGGCUCAGUGGCAGAGUGUUUGCUUAGCAUGCAAACGCCCUGAGUUCAAUCCUUUGCACCA
This 68-nucleotide transfer RNA is filed under the name Heterocephalus glaber (naked mole-rat). It matches the Rfam family "tRNA". From Rfam's summary of the family: Transfer RNA (tRNA) molecules are approximately 80 nucleotides in length. Their secondary structure includes four short double-helical elements and three loops (D, anti-codon, and T loops). Lineage: Eukaryota; Metazoa; Chordata; Mammalia; Rodentia; Bathyergidae. The record is from Rfam by way of RNAcentral.